Lytechinus pictus (painted urchin) is the source of this 2817-nucleotide long non-coding RNA. RefSeq lists it as uncharacterized. The transcript is spliced from 3 exons. The record is from RefSeq and is a predicted model, not a curated record. Lineage: Eukaryota; Metazoa; Echinodermata; Echinoidea; Temnopleuroida; Toxopneustidae.
AACCGCCAAUUGCAAUAUUUCAAAAAAGAACCCGAUCAACCACUGUUUUGCUGUUCAGAAGUCCGUCUAUAAUUUAUCAUAAACUAAAGGAACACAGGUCAGAUUCGGACAACGACUUCAAAUUCGUUCGCAGAAUACGCUAAACAAUUGGACGACGGAUACACUGGAUGAUAAUGUAGAUGGUCCAGGAUUAUCUGGGAAGGAAACUACAGGUGUUGAACACAGAAAACCGUUUACAAGAAAACAACUGGAGUUUGUGAAAGCUGCAAGAAAUUAAUCUUGCCGGGGUACGCAUUCACUUCACCUUGGUCGAGUGCAGCACAGUGGAUAAAUGUGUUGCUGAAGGAAAACACCAUUGCUAGGAUUCAAACCCACGACACUCUGUUGAAAGGUGAGAGUCAGAACCACUAGACCACGACGCACCCACAAUUAACAAGCUGAUGUCAUACCCCCACUUGUUCUUUUGUAUUUUAUAACAAGAAGUCAUGUUUAUUCACAUUUUGACCUCCAAGAACUAAAAAGUGGAGUGAAGAUUUAUUUAAUGUAAACACAUGCAUUGCUUGAAAUCAUUUUAUGCUACGUGGGACAUAUCAUACACACGUGUACGAAAAUAUGAAAUUAUUAUGAUUUCAUUUUAUAACAUAAGCCUAACACAUAUUCCUGACGAUCAUGUGCACAUUCCAGUAAUUUUUCCCAAAAUGUUGCUAAACCUUCAAAUCAAAGACUUUGUUAUCAGAUUUUAACGAAAUUGUCAACAUUAUGCUUUUCUGAUUAAUUCUCUUCCUACCUAAAUCUCCCCUUUUCUCAUGCUUUCUUUCUAUGGUCCCCUUCAUUAUCCUUAUAACUAUGUUAUAUGUAAAAUGUAACCGGUCGUCCAACCCAUUUGAUUGAAGGGCUUGGUACUCUAGACUGAAAGGUAUGUGAUUUAAAUUCAAAGAGUACAUCAGACAAAAAAACACUGAAAAUUUCAUCAAAAUUGAAUGAGGAUUAAUGAAAUUAUGACGAAUUAAAGUUGUUAUUUUUUGGUAAAACUGUUCUCUGCAAGUCCUCAUGAAUAUACAAGAUCCCAAUUUAUAUAUUUUUUUGUAUUAUAUGAAUUCAAAUUUUGUCCAAGCUAGGUUGUAAAAAAUUACGAUUGGCUACUGAUUUACUGUGUAAGACAAAAAUUAUAUUAUUUCUCACACAUAGUUGAGUUAUUCAUCUGAUUCAACACAACAAAAAUAGACAAAAAAGAAAUAAGUGGGAAUCUUGUAUAUUUGAACUAUGGGAAAUAGUUAAAAAAUAGAUGUGCUACUAAGAAUUAUUUUCUAUAUGAUUUGCAAAAUAUUAAAAAAAGAUGUCGCUAUUUUUCUUGUUUUUUUUUCUAUUUUCAUAAAAUAUUCUUUAUUAUUCUAUUCUAUAUAUUCUAUUUUUGAUAUAGAUAUUAUUUAUUUCUUUAUGUAUCUUUAAUGUAUUUAUGAUAAACUUUUGGCAUGUUUCUACAGAAAAUCAUUAAAAACGAUUUAUCUUUUCCGGACUCGAAAAACCUUAUCGCCCUUAAACCAACCUGCUUCUACAAACCGAAUAAUCUGAUUAAUUCGCUUUUCGCGUUGCAAAUACGGCGGAAAUCGGAAAAUUCAACCUAUAACCUCACGUUGCAUUGUACAUAUGUCCAAAAUUGCAUCUUCUUAGGAAAAUUUUCAAAAUUUGUGGUAGAUCUCACUCAAUGUAGCAGGUAUAAGUGUUGCACGAUCAGCUGGCGAGAUCGAAAAGGCCAGAAUGUGCAAAUAUAUGUACUGCGAAAUUGCACUUCCGGGAUUAAGCACGUCCGCCAGACACGAUACGCUAUUUUGCCGUGUGUUUUUACAGAAAAGUUAAACGGAUUAACAUGGCAAUAACCACCUCUCAGAGAUGGUUAUGAGAAACCAUAUUUUGCUUGAAGCAGUUUAUCAAUAAACCGCAUCGCGUCUGUUUCUACAAAAUUCUACAGGAAAGUUUUCCGGGAUUCUGGAUACUUACGCGGGUAAUACCUUUUAACGAUUCUAUGUAGAAACACGCCGUUUGAUAUAUCUUUUAGGUGAAAAGAAAAUAUAGAAAUAUUAGGAGGUUCUAUUUUUAUGGGGGUACUAUUUUCCCCCUUUUUGGGGAUAUUUAUUUCCUCUAAGUUUGGUACUCUUUACCUUUAAUGAAUCAUUUGGCCAUGUGAAGGCUAUCACACAUUUUGAGUUUAAUCUUCGAAAUUUGGUGUUCAUCAGUUUGUUGUCCAAACUCUGUCUUACAUGUAGAUUUGUUUAUAGGAAGAUUAACAUAAUAUCUAUGUGGAGUGCAAUCAUUGACCUCUUGUAGAGUCGUGCAGUCACAUGUAUUCAUAAUGCUGGUGCUUUUAUGCCAUACAUGUACUUGUCAAUACUGGGUUCCACUCUUUUGUACUUGAACUUAUUAGUAAAAAAAACAUUUUAUUAAUGUCAUUGAAGUAGCUGUGUGAAAGCAAUUACACACAACAGAUUUAAAAUCAAGGUUAUUGUAUUACAAGUAUCAGGUUUGUUUGCAGAACAGUGGUUUUGCCAAGUACUCAAUCCACGUAAAAAGCCAUCAGAGAGAACAUGUUUAUUCUUGGAAAUGUUAUUCAUUUGUUGUGUUUUUCAAUUAAACUCUGUCUUGAUACAUGUUUAUUUUAGAUACCAAGAUUGACAGAGUAUAGAUGUCAACGAGGAGCAAAGUCAUAUAUAUUCAUAACUUAUGUGCUUUAAUUAUAAAGUCUAUACUUGUGAAUACUGUGUUCCAUUUAUGCUGUACUUAAACUUCUUAUAGUAAAAACAUUUGACGUUCUUGAAAUAA